Molecule: ribosomal RNA, 753 nt
Filed under: Triticum aestivum (bread wheat)
Lineage: Eukaryota; Viridiplantae; Streptophyta; Magnoliopsida; Poales; Poaceae
Description: partial small subunit ribosomal RNA
Source: RNAcentral
AUGGCGGAGGAGCAGUUCCUGGCCGCAGCGGUGGACGCCGCCAAGAGCGCCGGCGAGGUGGAUCUGGUGACGGAGACGGACAAGGCCUGCGAGGAUCUCAUCUUCAACCACCUCCGGAUGCUCUACCCGGACCACAAGUUCAUCGGCGAGGAGACGUCUGCAGCCCUCGGCUCCACCGAUGACCUCACCUACGACCCCACCUGGAUAGUCGACCCUCUCGAUGGCACCACCAAUUUCGUUCAUGGCUUUCCUUUUGUGUGCGUCUCGAUUGGCCUCACCAUUGGGAAGAUUCCCACCGUUGGAGUUGUGUACAACCCCAUCAUGAAUGAGCUUUUCACAGCUGUUCGUGGAAAAGGUGCUUUUCUCAAUGGUUCUCCAAUUAAAACAUCGCCUCAAAAUGAGUUGGUGAAGGCUCUUAUGGUGACAGAGGUAGGGACCAAAAGAGACAAGCCCACUUUGGAUGAUACAACCAACAGAAUUAAUAAGUUACUAUUCAAGAUUAGAUCUAUACGUAUGUGUGGCUCUUUGGCUCUAAACAUGUGUGGAGUUGCUUGUGGUAGGCUAGAUUUGUGUUAUGAGAUCGGUUUUGGUGGCCCCUGGGAUGUGGCUGCUGGAGCUUUGAUUCUAAAGGAAGCUGGGGGUUUUGUUUUUGAUCCGAGCGGUGAUGCGUUUGAUCUGAUGGCGCAAAGAAUGGCAGGAUCAAAUGGCCACCUCAAGGAUCAGUUCAUCAAAGCAUUGGUUGAUGCAAGCUGA